This 1523-nucleotide long non-coding RNA is filed under the name Vulpes vulpes (red fox). RNAcentral describes it as "lncRNA (ENSVVUG00000024735.1)". Lineage: Eukaryota; Metazoa; Chordata; Mammalia; Carnivora; Canidae. The record is from RNAcentral.
UGCCAAUACGGCAUACAUUUAACUUGGGAUAGAAAAUAUUUAUACAUGACUUUUUUUUCCCAAAAGAGACAACCUGAAUAGAAGGAAUUAUCUUGAAAAGUGUAUAAGCAAGAAAAUCUGAGUUCAACAAAUAAGAAUCCAUUAAUUCUUGAGAAGUAAUUGUUAUAGUAAACAACUACAAAGAAGCCAACUAAAUGAUGCUUGUAGAAAACCAGUUCUCAUGGGUCCACUAUGGAAGGACAGAUGGUAUAACAUGAGGAAACCAACUGUGUAGUGCUGAAGUAGAGUCAAAGCAUUAAAGGGGGGGAAAGAAAGGCUUAUUCGGUCAUGUGCAGAACAACUGUAACCCACACAAUCUAACAUAAGCAUACCCCAGUCAUACAGCCAAUAAGCCUCACUCACAGUAGGAAUUAAAGAAAUGUGAGUUGUAUGAAGAAAUAAUGAAUGAGUUUGAUCCUGAACUACAAUAAGGUAGAAAAUGCAGAAUAAUGUGUUAUAUGUGCUUUUUAUUUGUUUGGUUUUUGGCAUAAUGGCAAUCAAUUAAUCUACCUCUCUAAACUUCAGUUCCUUCUUUAGGAAAAUAUAUAUAGUAAUAAUACUAUAAUUUAAUGCUCCUUCCUACUCCAAAGGGCUAUUGUAAAUUUCAAAUGAGAAUAUUCUGGAAUUUACAAAUGCUACAAACAAUUAAGUAAUUUUUAUUUCAUUUCCUUGAAAAAAGUAAAAAGCCACUGGUAUGUUUACAAAGAUUCUAUCCCUUUCAAUCUGUCGUUAUAUAUCUAGAGGUGUGAGGAUGAAGUUAAGGGUAGGAUGGAAAAGGGAGAAAUAAGUAUGCCUAUGGAAGGAAGGUAGAGAAUCUUCAAUUAUCUUUCCCCAUGAUGGUUUAGAGAGACUGUCUGCAGAAGCUGUGAAGCAAGAGAAGGAAGUCAGCAUUGUUUUCCUCUGUAAGUCAAGCACUGGAUGGCUUAUAUGGAAGAUGACGUGGUCCCUGAGGAGAAAGGCUUUUAUUCAACAUCCUUUUUGUACUAAGCACUGUUCUUGACUCUGGGGAAUGCUGGAGCAGUAAACAAGGUACUCAACAGGGAAACACAAGACAGCACAGUUUGUUGGGAGUGGGACCAGAGAAGACUGCAGGCUCCUCUUGGCUGUGGAGAGACUUCAUGAAGGAAGUAAGGGCUGAGCAGGAGUUUGCCACCUGUACCCUGCCAAGGAUGACUUUCUUGGAAGAAAGAACUGAUUAGUCAUCAGCAAACUAAACCCCACUGGAUUGGCAUUUAAAUGUUGUAUUUUGAAAGGAAUCUUAGAAGUCUUAAAGUAUUUUGUCCCAGAGAAUAGACAUAUUCUUUUGAGAAGGGAUAAAAGGAUGUGAAGAAACUAUGCUCCUUGAGAGAAAUUAAGAAAUUUUAUGAAAGCCUUAAAAAUAGGUGAACAAGAUUCACAUUCUCAUAGUAUCUGAGUAACAUAAAAGAUGUGUUAAAAUAGUGACUUACUAAUUCAAUAUUUUCACAAAAUAUAUGAGUUCUUAC